Long non-coding RNA from Astyanax mexicanus (Mexican tetra), 1390 nucleotides. RefSeq lists it as uncharacterized. The transcript has 3 exons. The record is from RefSeq and is a predicted model, not a curated record. NCBI's taxonomy places the organism in Eukaryota, Metazoa, Chordata, Actinopteri, Characiformes, Acestrorhamphidae.
CUACACUGAGGACGAGCCUGUUGGGAAAUGUUUAUAUGGAGCUCUGAGAGAGGAUCAGGUUCAGGGUAGGACAGAGGACGUGGACAGAUAUCAUGACUAAAUAAGGUGGCGAUACUGCCGUGUGAUUGGACACAGCCAGCCAUCACCUGACUCUGUGGCUCUGAGUCUCACCUGAAGCUGAACCUGGAACACACCUGUACAGAUCAGAGCUCAGAACUCAGCUUCCCUCAGUAACAAUAACAGGCGAGUUCAGGUUUAGAGCGCUUUUAACUACUGAAUUAAUAACGCUGGAGGAUUAAACUCUGUAAACUGAAGCUGUGCGGAGGUGUGUUUACCCACCUGAGAGAGAGAGAGAGAGAAGCAUCUUCGGACACGGGAUUUACACCGCUGCUGAACAGCGCCACUUACUGGAGACUGCACACUCUAAUUCAUUUUUACUUUACAUUUUAUAUUUUAUAUAAAAUAUUAGAAGACAGAAAACCACGUAUAGUUGACAGUCAACCAGUAAGAGUUUAUAUAAUUUACAUAAAUGCAUUAAUAAAAUAUGCUUUAAUAAAAAAAAAAGUAGCAAGUAAAAAAUAUAUAGUUUAAGAGGCAUUCACAAUAUUAUCACGUUUUUGUAUAGUUUUUAAAUGUGUCCUAUUAUUAACUACUAGAAUUCAAUAGUAAGGCAAAGUCUAUUCAAACUUUGGUAUUGAAGUGAAAAAUGUACAUUUGUGUAUAAAGUAUUUAAUAAAAAAACUGAUAAUGUACAAUAUACUCCAUGUCCUGAUCAGCAUUUGCAUAAAAAUGUGUAUUGUAUCACCAAAAUGUAGGUAAAAAAAAAGCGUUGAUUUUCUUUGAAAAUGUGAGGUGAUUUAAUUGGGAUGAGCUGAAGCUUCACAGCGUGAAGGAAAAGCAGCAACUAUUAUUCAGCACCUCCAGGAACUCCUUCCUUCAAGACGCUGAGAAAACAAUUCCAGGGCCGCAGAGACGCAGAGUGGCGCUGAUAAACAGGUGAGACAGGAAACACUUUAGUCGUUUUUGAUGGGGUCAUAUAACAGAUUAUUAGUGUUAAUGCAGUAAAACUGCUGAUAAACACAGCCGAAUUUGUUCAUAUCAAAUGUUCAGUGUUUUCCCCCAGACUCAGACUGAAAAGAACAGGUUUGAACAGAUACAGAUAUGUUCUCUUUAUUGCUUACACACAGUACACACACACACACCUCAGUCCAGUCAGAGCUGAAGCUGCACUUAUUAUUAAAAACAACAGCACAGUAUUUCCUCUUAUAUUUCCUCUGACAGAAGAAAAGGUUGUGACCCUGCGGUUUACAGAUUCCAGACUGUGGUUUUACAGAGAAAGAGAGAGAGAGAGAACAAUGCUGACUGCAGUAAGCAAGCUCUGGAAAAAAAA